UACGUAGGUCCCGAGCGUUAUCCGGAUUUACUGGGUGUAAAGGGAGCGUAGACGGCGAAGAAAGUCUGAAGUGAAAGCCCGCGGCUCAACCGCGGAACUGCUUUGGAAACUUUUUUGCUGGAGUACCGGAGAGGUAAGCGGAAUUCCUAGUGUAGCGGUGAAAUGCGUAGAUAUUAGGAGGAACACCAGUGGCGAAGGCGGCUUACUGGACGGUAACUGACGUUGAGGCUCGAAAGCGUGGGGAGCAAACAGG
This 253-nucleotide ribosomal RNA is filed under the name uncultured bacterium. RNAcentral describes it as "partial 16S ribosomal RNA". It matches the Rfam family "Bacterial small subunit ribosomal RNA", at positions 524 to 776 of the family's 1533-position model. The record is from RNAcentral.